GCCAGGUGCGGUGCGUGCCUGUAGUCCCAGCUACUCGAGAGGCUGAGGCUGGAGGAUCGCUUGAGUCCAGGAGUUCUGGGCUGUAGUGCGCUAGGCUGAUCGGGUGUCCACACUACGUUUGGCAUCAAUAUGAUGACCUCCUGGGAGCAGCGGACCACCAGGUUGCCUAAAGAGGGGUGACCUGGCCCAGGUCGGAAAUGGAGCAGGUCAUAAAUCCCAUGCUGAUCAGUAGUGAGAUCCCCUGUGAAUAGCCACUGCACUCCAGCCUGGGCAACACAGUGAGACCUCAUCUCU
RNAcentral lists this signal recognition particle RNA (294 nucleotides) under Aotus nancymaae (Ma's night monkey). Its description in RNAcentral is "Metazoan signal recognition particle RNA (ENSANAG00000001250.1)". It matches the Rfam family "Metazoan signal recognition particle RNA". Rfam says of the family: The signal recognition particle (SRP) is a universally conserved ribonucleoprotein. It is involved in the co-translational targeting of proteins to membranes. The eukaryotic SRP consists of a 300-nucleotide 7S RNA and six proteins: SRPs 72, 68, 54, 19, 14, and 9. Lineage: Eukaryota; Metazoa; Chordata; Mammalia; Primates; Aotidae. The record is from RNAcentral.